This 326-nucleotide ribosomal RNA is filed under the name uncultured bacterium. RNAcentral's name for it is "bacterial SSU rRNA". It matches the Rfam family "Bacterial small subunit ribosomal RNA", at positions 28 to 334 of the family's 1533-position model. The record is from RNAcentral.
GAUGAACGCUGGCGGCGUGCCUAACACAUGCAAGUCGAACGAAGCUCUUACGACGGAACUCUUCGGAGGGAAGAUAUAUUAGACUUAGUGGCGGAUGGGUGAGUAACGCGUGGGUAACCUGCCCUGUACAGGGGGACAACAGUUAGAAAUGACUGCUAAUACCGCAUAAGCCUCCGGGAUCGCAUGAUUCAGAAGGAAAAACUCCGGUGGUACAGGAUGGGCCCGCGUCUGAUUAGCUAGUUGGUGAGGUAACGGCUCACCAAGGCGACGAUCAGUAGCCGGCUUGAGAGAGUGAACGGCCACAUUGGGUCUGAGACACGGCCCAA